RNAcentral lists this ribosomal RNA (459 nucleotides) under uncultured bacterium. RNAcentral's name for it is "partial 16S ribosomal RNA". It matches the Rfam family "Bacterial small subunit ribosomal RNA", at positions 338 to 795 of the family's 1533-position model. The record is from RNAcentral.
CCUACGGGGGGCAGCAGUGAGGAAUAUUGGUCAAUGGGCGAGAUCCUGAACCAGCCAAGCCGCGUGAGGGAAGACGGCCCUAUGGUUUGUAAACCUCUUUUGUCGGAGAACAAAACCCGGGACGUGUCCCGGACUGCGUUUACCCGAAGAAAAAGCAUCGGCUAACUCCGUGCCAGCAGCCACGGUAAUACGGAGGAUGCGAGCGUUAUCCGGAUUUAUUGUGUUUAAGGGGGGGGUAGGCGGUCCGUUAAGUCAGCGGUAAAAUUGCGGGGCUCAACCCCGUCGAGCCGUUGAAACUGGUAGACUUGAGUGGGCGAGAGGUAAGCGGAAUGCGAGGUGUAGCGGUGAAAUGCAUAGAUAUCGCGCAGAACUCCGAUUGCGAAGGCAGCGUACCGGCGCCAGACUGACGCUGAGGCACGAAAGCGUGGGGAUCGAACAGGAUUAGAUACCCUUGUAGUC